CAGGGCCCCUCGGGGGUCGCGUCACUGAGGCGGCGAAGCCGGGAACUGGAUCAUAGCUGCCUCCCGCUCUAGGGGUGUUAAUACAGAUUUUACAGAUGAGGAAACUGAGACCCAGAGAACUGAUGACAGUGAGCAGCUGAGCUGGGAAAACCCCAGGUCCGGUUGACUGUGAAGCCCCUGCGCCUGGAAUAGGAAGUCUCUGACCCAUUUCUACUGCAGUGUCCCCUCAUCUUUGGGUCACCCGGGGGCAGAUAUGACCAGCUGUCUGUGGAGGGAAAAGGGAGGGCUGUGAAAUGAAAUGGGAGUGUGUGCACGGCGCCCCCUGGUGGCCUAUUUGGGGCCAUCGCUCUAAUGCUGGAGGGAUUUCCAGGACCCUUAUGGUGACACUGGGCCCACCAUCUGGAUAAUCCAGGACAGGCUCCCUCAAGAUCCUUCAUCACAUCCGCAAGUCCCUUUCGCCAUGUGCAGUCAUGUAUCUGUCGGUUGUGGGGAUCAGGAUGUGGACACCUUUGGGAGGAUGUUAUUCAGCCUAUCACGGCUACACAGCUGAGGAGUGGUGGAGACCUUCUGAGCCCUUCUCUUCAGCAGUUCCACUGUGGCUGCAGCCACCAACAGAUCCUGUGUGCCUUGCACACCUCAGUGACAGUAUUUCAGUGGAUCUUGCAUUUGCCAUUUUUAAGUCAGGAAUGAACACGUGGGGCUUGGAGUCUGGCUAUCUGACUUGAAAUCCUGGCUUUAAGCCCUUCCUAACUGGUGAGGUUGAGCAAGUUACCUUACUUUUCUGGGCCUCUGUCUUCUCAUCUGUCAAAUGGGAACGAUGAUAAUAGACACCUGUUGUAGGGGGGAUGGGGGAUGAGGAUGGAAUGAUUUCAUGAAUGUCGAGUUCUCAGAACAAUGUCUGGUUCUUAAUAACUUCAGUACACUGGGCCUCAGUUUCCUUAUCUGUAAAGUGGGGAUAAUGGUAUUCAACCCAGAGGGCAGUUUUGAGGAUUUAAGGCCACAAGGCACCAACCUCACUUAUUGGCCGGAGGGAAGUGAGUGCUGAGUGGGUGAGUGGCCGCUCUCAUCCCAGCCUUUCACCUGGGCCAGCAGGUCCUUCCCUCCCCUCCCUCUUCCCUGGGCCCUUACACUGCGGCAGACACUGCUGGGUUCUGUUCCUCCAGCCGCCCAGCCUCCUAAAUCAAGCCAAGCGUUGAGGCAUGCACUGCCCAUUAAUGGGGACAUUUUGACUCAGCGCCGUUUUGAAAUAGCAGGGUUGGGCAGUGCCCCGAGAAUAAGCUUUGCUAAUGGAGUUUCUGUCUUGGCAUUGGGCCUGUCUGGGCUGUUUACUGCAGGAGACUUGGAGGAUGUAGGGCCGGAGGGGGAAGAAGGACUUGGAGCCUUAUUUGCUUGCAGGAGCCCUGCAAAGGCAGGCAGAAGGUAGUAAGGCUCCCUGGCCUCCAGCUGAGCGUGAGUGUAGUCCUGCUGGGGUGGGGAGGGUCCCGGGGUGUGAACCUGGCCAGUGACCUCACGCGAGAGAGCAGCUUGGGAACCUCAGUUUUCCCCUUUGCCAGAUAUUGAUGGAAGUCUCCACCCGGUGAGCAAAAUCAUUCCCCGAUGACCUGACCAUUAUGAAAUUAGACUGUAUUCAAAUAUUUCCAAAUACUUAGGUGUAUAAGCACCUUGUGUGUUUCUAAAUGAAGGAUACAAUUUUAUUGGGGGGAAAAAAACCUGAUUUUGUCUUCUUUUUGAGUGUAAUUCAUUAGAACAAUGUCAGACAUGUUAAAUGUCACAGAAAAUAAGCUUAUUUUCAUAAUUCUUAUUAUUUUUCAAGAUAGUUCCACCAUCAAGCCUGUCUGCGCCCUCUCAUUUAUUGUGACAUUUUUGGUUCUCAGUAUAAGUGGAUUCGUUUAUGUGAUCUGUUGCCAGUUCCAUCUGUUUUUAAAUUUUUUAAAAGUUGUGUUAAGAUAUAUAUAAGCUUUGCCAUUUUAACCAUUUUUAAGUAUGCACUUACAUUCACUACGCCGUGUUAACCACCACUUCAAUCUAUUUCCACAACUUUUUCAUCAUCCCAGACAUAAACUCUGUAUCCAUUAAGCAAUAACUCUCCAUUAUUUCUCCCCUUCAGCCCUGGUAACCUCUAAUCUACUUUCUAACUCCUGAAUUUGCCUAUUCUAGAUAGUUCACAAAAGUGAAAUCAUACCGUAUUUGUCCUUUUGUGUUUGGCUUCGUUCACUUGGCGUCGUGUUUUCAAGGUCCGCCCACGAGGUUGAUGUCUCAGUAUAUUCCUUUUAUGGCUGAAUUAUAUUCCACCGAAUGGAGGGACCACUUUUUGUUUUAUUGGUUCAUCUGUUAGUGAACACUUGGGUUGCUUGUUACGAAUAUUCCUGUGCAAGCAUCUUGUUUCGAGUGCCUGUUUUCAAUGCUUUGGGUAUAUACCUAGGAGUGGAAUUGCUGGGUUAUAUGGAAAUCCUGUGUCUAACUUUUGGAGGAACUGCCAAACUACUUUGACAGCAGCUACAUCAUUCUGCGAUCCCAUCAGCAACGUACAGGAGUUCCAGUUCCUUCACAUCCUCUCCAACAACUGUUUCUCUUUUUUUUUCUUUUAAAAAUGAUAGACAUCCUAAUUGGUGUGGAGUGCUAUUUCAUCGUGGAUUUGAUUUACAUUUCUCUAAUGACUAAUGAUGUUGAGCAUCUUUAAAUGUACUUACUGGCCAUUCCUAUAUCUUCUUUGGAGAAAUGUGUAUGUCAAUGUCUUGUCAAUGUCAAGUCCUUUGCCCACCUUUUAAUUGGGUUUUUGUAUUUUUGUUGUUGACGUGUAGGAGUUCUUUAUAUAUUACGGAUUUUACAUCCUUAUUUAUUAGAUAUAUGACUUGCAAAUAUUUUCCUCCCAUUGUGUGGGUUGUCUUUUCACCCUCAUGAUAGUAAACUUUGAUGCCCAAAAGUUUUCAAUCUUAACGAAGCCUAAUUUAUCUUUUUCUUUUGUUGCUUGUGUUUCUAGCAGAAACCACUGCUAAAUCUAAGGUCAUGCAGAUUUUCCUCUAUGCUGUCUUGUUUUAUAGUUCUAGCUCUUAAAAUUUAGGUCUUUGAUCCAUUUUGAGUUGAUUUUUGUAUAUGACAUAAGGUGGGGGUCCAACUUCAUUCUUUCAUGUGGAUAUCUAGUUUUCUCAGCACCAUUUGUUGAAGAGAACUUUUUUUUCUUUCCUGCAUUGUAUGAUCUUGGCACCCUUGUUGAAACUCAAUUGACCAUAGAUGUGAGGGUUUAUUUCUGGGCUGUCAAUUCAAUUUCAACUGAAGUAUAGUGAGUUACAAUGUGUCAGUUUCUGGUGUACAGCAUCAUGGCCCAGUCAUGCAUAUACAUACACAUAUUCAUUUUCAUAUUCUUCGGCCAUGAUCUUGAGUGGAUCAGCUCCACACUUCAGUCUUGGGUUCCAUGACACACAUGCAGGGACAGGAAGUGGGAAUGUGAACCCUGUUGAUUGAGAUGUUGAAACACAGGGUUCAAUCAAAUAAAAGAGAUUCUUAAAGUCCAAAGUGCUACCAAUGACAGUAGGCAAGGAAAGCUUUACCACUGUCCCAUGGGAACGCACACAAGCUUCUCUCUGGGCAAAGCUCCAGCUGAGAAAAAUAUGGUAAGUAACUCUAGGAUGAAGGAGCCAAGUCCCACCCACCUGGGUCCCAGGAGAAGCAGGAGGUCUGAUGACACAGGUGGGAGUGAUGACUCUGCACCUCCCACACCACACUCAGAAUGACCCAUCACGAGACUCGCACUGUAGAAAUGGGCAGAAACCUGGAAUGCACUUUUUCCCCUAAUAAUCAUUUUUCUUUCUAACACCUCAGAGCCAAACGAUGCCUGUGCCUCUCAGUUAAAAGCCAAGUAUUAUGCUUUAAUAGUAAAAUCAUAAAUGUUAUGGCCUUAGUAUAUUGCGGUAAGAAAAGCUCA
This is a long non-coding RNA of Camelus dromedarius (Arabian camel), 3922 nucleotides long. RefSeq lists it as uncharacterized. The record is from RefSeq and is a predicted model, not a curated record. The transcript has 4 exons. NCBI's taxonomy places the organism in Eukaryota, Metazoa, Chordata, Mammalia, Artiodactyla, Camelidae.